AUUGAACGCUGGCGGCAGGCCUAACACAUGCAAGUCGAACGGUAACAGGGAUCAGCUUGCUGAUUCGCUGACGAGUGGCGGACGGGUGAGUAAUGUCUGGGAAACUGCCUGAUGGAGGGGGAUAACUACUGGAAACGUUAGCUAAUACCGCAUAACGUCGCAAGACCAAAGAGGGGGACCUUCGGGCCUCUUGCCAUCGGAUGUGCCCAGAUGGGAUUAGCUAGUAGGUGGGGUAACGGCUCACCUAGGCGACGAUCCCUAGCUGGUCUGAGAGGAUGACCAGCCACACUGGAACUGAGACACGGUCCAGACUCCUACGGGAGGCAGCAGGGGGGAAUAUUGCACAAUGGGCGCAAGCCUGAUGCAGCCAUGCCGCGUGUAUGAAGAAGGCCUUCGGGUUGUAAAGUACUUUCAGCGGGGAGGAAGGGAGUAAAGUUAAUACCUUGGCUCAUUGACGUUACCCGCAGAAGAAGCACCGGCUAACUCCGU
Molecule: ribosomal RNA, 489 nt
Filed under: uncultured bacterium
Lineage: Bacteria
Description: partial 16S ribosomal RNA
Rfam family: Bacterial small subunit ribosomal RNA
Source: RNAcentral